This is a long non-coding RNA of Mytilus californianus (California mussel), 397 nucleotides long. RefSeq lists it as uncharacterized. The record is from RefSeq and is a predicted model, not a curated record. The transcript has 3 exons. Lineage: Eukaryota; Metazoa; Mollusca; Bivalvia; Mytilida; Mytilidae.
UCCCCGGCAGUUCCAGCUCCGAUCCGCAUACUACUCUACACUAAUCACUGCCUUCGGCUUUUUUCGUAAUCCGAUCUUCAAGCUGUUUGACCCGGAUUGACCUUUCGUUGCUACUGAAGCAAAUAUGGCUGCACAUUGAUGAAAGGAUAUAUUUUACCAACUACCAGUAAAUGUGGACAAACACAAAUAAAACGGUGACACAAUAGAUAACAGCACAGUGCUCAGAUUGAAUCAGAAUGAAUAAAACAAAAAGUUUUUAUUAGCUUCAUCAACCAGAAGAACUUCGCACACAAUUAUUGAUUUAGUUUCCUUGAAGAUUUUAACAGUAAUUGUUAAAACUUGAAAUCAGACAGAAUGAAACUUUGAGAAAAUUUACAUACAUGUAUAUAUACAGUGU